AAUUUUCAAUGGACACCAAAGAGGAAUGCAGGUUUAGAGGUCCUGGGUGUUUAAGUGACUUACUCCAAAUCACAUAGGAAAUAAGUUGCAGAAACAUAAUUCAAUUCCAGAUGCUCUGACUCCCAGAGACAAUGCUCUUUCCACUAUGCCAUGAAAACUGGA
This 162-nucleotide long non-coding RNA is filed under the name Monodelphis domestica (gray short-tailed opossum). RNAcentral's name for it is "lncRNA (ENSMODG00000035816.2)". The record is from RNAcentral. Lineage: Eukaryota; Metazoa; Chordata; Mammalia; Didelphimorphia; Didelphidae.